UUAUAAAAGAUGGAGCGACUUAUUCUCACCGCCACACCGCUCGGUAAGGAAAUACUGCUCAUUCUUUUGUCAGACAAAAGCUCCAACGUGGCCGCGGGGUUCACCGGGAGGCUGCUGCUGUGGGAGUUUGGGCGCUGUAACAGGUGACGGGAGGCACGGGAGGACAAUUAAAACUGGCGGCCAUCACAGAGCAACAGAUGGAGGUGCACAACAGGAUAUUACCACUAAGAGGAUUCUUCUUUCUUUGCCUGUCACUCCGGACUUUUUUUUGUGGGGACAGACUCUUUCAUCGUGACCCAGCUCGACUGGCUUACUGGAACUGGUGUCGAGUUGUCGGUUAAGCCUUCUGAAACCCGCCACUACUCAUGUUGACCUGCUUGGCAAACAGAAAUCCCCCGAUCGAGUCCGCUGUGAAUAUCAUUAAAAUAAGUAACCAGGGUGGAUUAGAAAGUGGUCGUAGCGCCUUGAGUGUCUGAACUCUGACCUUUCAGUCAGAACUCUGAGGAGGAUGCUGCGAACCUGCUGACAUUAAAAUCGAUCGCUGUCAACACGCUGCCAUCCCUGAUACCACGAGGGACAUUGAUAACUGGUGCUGGUGUGAAGACCUGCAGAUGAAGACACACAUCCCCGGUGUGCUGCAGGAGACGGGAGGUGAAGGAGAGUGUAGGAGAAUUUGCAGGUCUUCAUGUGCACUUACCUGUCACUUCUCAGUCUCAGGUGCUUCCUGAUGUGACUACAUGGACACAUUCAGUUUAAAGGGUUAUAUUCAAGACUGUGGUGAGAGGAGAAAUUACAAGUGCAUGUACAGUAUAUUCAUAUGUAGCUGAGAUACAAUGAUGCUCCUUUAGCGUCAGAAUCAAAAUAAAGUUUGUUACCAAGUAGGUUUUCACUUACAAAGAAUGUACCGUGGUCU
Long non-coding RNA from Epinephelus moara (kelp grouper), 913 nucleotides. RefSeq lists it as uncharacterized. The transcript is spliced from 3 exons. NCBI's taxonomy places the organism in Eukaryota, Metazoa, Chordata, Actinopteri, Perciformes, Serranidae. The record is from RefSeq and is a predicted model, not a curated record.